GGGCGGUUAGCUCAGUUGGUAGAGCGGCUGCUUUACAUGCAGCGGGUCGGGGGUUCGAGUCCCUCAUCGCCCACCA
This 76-nucleotide transfer RNA is filed under the name Acidobacteriota bacterium. Its description in RNAcentral is "tRNA-Val". It matches the Rfam family "tRNA". From Rfam's summary of the family: Transfer RNA (tRNA) molecules are approximately 80 nucleotides in length. Their secondary structure includes four short double-helical elements and three loops (D, anti-codon, and T loops). Further hydrogen bonds mediate the characteristic L-shaped molecular structure. tRNAs have two regions of fundamental functional importance: the anti-codon, which is responsible for specific mRNA codon recognition, and the 3' end, to which the tRNAs corresponding amino acid is attached (by aminoacyl-tRNA synthetases). tRNAs cope with the degeneracy of the genetic code in two manners: having more than one tRNA (with a specific anti-codon) for a particular amino acid; and 'wobble' base-pairing, i.e. permitting non-standard base-pairing at the 3rd anti-codon position. Lineage: Bacteria; Pseudomonadati; Acidobacteriota. The record is from RNAcentral. RNAcentral also lists the same sequence under 1 other name.